RNAcentral lists this ribosomal RNA (253 nucleotides) under uncultured bacterium. RNAcentral describes it as "partial 16S ribosomal RNA". It matches the Rfam family "Bacterial small subunit ribosomal RNA", at positions 524 to 776 of the family's 1533-position model. The record is from RNAcentral.
UACGUAGGGUGCGAGCGUUAAUCGGAAUUACUGGGCGUAAAGGGCGCGUAGGCGGCCUGUUAAGUCGAACGUGAAAUCCCCGGGCUCAACCCGGGGACUGCGUCCGAUACUGGCAGGCUUGAAUCCGGGAGAGGGAUGUGGAAUUCCAGGUGUAGCGGUGAAAUGCGUAGAUAUCUGGAGGAACACCGGUGGCGAAGGCGGCAUCCUGGACCGGUAUUGACGCUGAGGCGCGAAAGCCAGGGGAGCAAACGGG